UUCUGCCAAGUAAUAUGAAUGUAUUAACUGGUUAAAGAAAAUGGUUACUGACUUUCUCCAAUCUGAACAUUUUCCAGAUGAGAAACGCAAAGGUUUUGGAUACCAUACUCCCCUGCUCUAAGAUACACUUUUCAUUUUCACAUCUGAAGAUCCCCGUCACCAGGAUUCAUCUCACAACUGAUGGCGCCCUCCCUCAGCUGUCAGCGCGAACUUUCACGGAAGCUAUUAGCAAGAACCAGCAUGAUGGGGGAGAAGCACCGCUGUAUUCGUCACUACAAAACUCCAGAACAAAUUCACUGAAAGCUUUUAUUAGGGGAUUUGACUUUCUCCCAAGGAAGAUCGUUGCCUUCUGUUGCCUUCUGCUCUGUCCCUAGAGCCCAGAUCUCACAGUUUCUAGUCCAGAGUCCAGACAGAGUUGGCAGAGAAAAGUGACUCGAGUUCCUUGAAAACAAACCACACAUCCCUUCAUCUCUGCACCCCCUCCAGAGCCUUGCAGUCUUCACUGUCAUCACAUUCAAGCACAUGCUGCAUAAAGGAAGGAAGCGGGAAUGGAAUGGACAGGUAGCAUGCUGUGAAUAUAAAGACACUCAGUGGAUUCCUGGCCACUUGGACAGUGGAAGGGGAUUUUCUCAGAGCCACCAAAACCAAUAUUCUAGGCUCACCUAACAUAAUGUAACUGAGAAUUCUUGGUUCUAAUUUGAGGCACCUGAUACAUAAAGGAAGGCGCAUAGGAUGGAGGCCCCAGAGACCGUAUUUAUUACUCAAUGGGGCAGGAAAUUGGGAGAAGGCUCUGGUGUCCAGGAGAAGAGUUCAGGCCAGUGGAUUAAGCCCCAUCAUGAGCCAGGAACUGAGCUAGUCCUGGCUGAAAAUGCAACCACAGCACACACUUCUGCUCUCAAGGGGCUUAGGGUUCGGCGGGGGAGAGACUUACAUAAUACACAUGUGAGACAGUCACAAGUGCGAGAAGCCAUGUCUGCUCAUUUGUGCUUGUCAAGAUAAUUUCACACAGUCCCUGAAUCUGUGAGGCCAUGCAGCUCUUUGGGAAGAUGCUUUGAAGACAAAACAGGAUGGACCACAUGGCUCCCACACCACUUGCCUGAGUCACUAUGCUCCUUAAAAGAUGAAUGACCCUAGCCUUGACUUUUCCUACACAGAAGAUAACGUUUGACAGGGUUAGUGACUAUGCCUCUGUAAUUCAUUACUAAAUGCAUUUUAGUCAUCUAUAACCAGAUAUACUCUGGCACCCAGACUUUGACGUGAUUUUGCACGUACUGAACCUUCACCACCCGUCCAUAAACUGUGAGCUGAAACACCACAUUGGAGCCUCUGAUGGAACUGCUCCCGGGCUGUAGACCUCCAUCUACAGUCUUCGGUAAGGCUUCUGAAUAAAACUAACUUUAAUUCUUUAAAAGUUUGAUUUGUUAUUCUUUAGUUAACACAUAACAACCCAAAGAUUCAUUGCAAAACAUAGGCUGGAAGGGUGAGGACUGGGGCCUUCGCUUUUUUUUUUAACUGAAAUGAUCUGAGGAGACAAUUAUGGUGUUAGUAGCUGAAUGCUUAAGGAUUCUGGGACAUUAAGAAGAGGUGGUGGAAUUCUAAUUGGAGUGAGAAGCAAUAUAAAUAACAGAAUGUGAAUGUCACAUUAGGAGAAGACAGAAGGAGAAGGAAAAAUAAUAGCAGUCUCCUCUAGUACAGAGUAAAGGAUCAGAAAGAGUGUAAAGAAGGGUAAUCUGAGGUCAGACUGCAGACAGCCUCUGAUGCCAGGUGAAGGGGCUUCGAUGUAUACAUGAACAAUGGAGUGAUAGGAUGGGAAUCAGCCUCAGCGUGCAAAAUGAAGCAGAGGGAGAAGGAUGGGUGUCGGGAGAUGGUUAUGAAGCCAUUGCAAUAACCCAAUGUGAGUCGACCGAAGCAAGAAUAAAGUUCGUGCCAUGGGGUUGAGAGGAAAUGAGGAGGUAAGAGACCUAGAGAGCCUGGGCGUGAUGGGUCACACCUGUAAU
RNAcentral lists this long non-coding RNA (1997 nucleotides) under Homo sapiens (human). RNAcentral's name for it is "HSALNT0338356". The record is from RNAcentral. Lineage: Eukaryota; Metazoa; Chordata; Mammalia; Primates; Hominidae.